AUUAUAAUUUAUAACAUUUCAAUUUUUAUUCCUAACAAAAGUGUAAAUGUCUAAAAUACAAUUCUACCUAAAUUAUGCAUUCAUCCUUUUAUUCAUUUAUUAUGUCAUUCAUAUUAAUCACAAUUUAUAACAAUUAUUUUCAUGUGUAAUUGUACUCAAAGCAUUUUUCCUUAUCCUUUCUCCAAUAAAUGAGAACUAGUCUCAUUCAUAUUUAUUCAUUUAUUCAUUACACUAUGUAUAUAAAUUAUCAUUCAUAUUUUAAGUAAUCCAUGAGCAUUUCAUGGAUUUCAAAUUUAACUAAAUUUUCCUUAAAUCCUAGAGUCACUCAACUUUAAGAAUUUAAAUUCAUUAAUCACAUUAUCUAUAUUAACCAUUCUAAUAGUUUUUCUAAGUUAGUAUACCAUUUCCUAUAUCAUUAGGGUUACUAUUUAUAUUACUAUUUAUUCAACAUGUUGAAUUUUUCAUAUAUAAUAGGUAUAUUAAUUCUAAUUGCACUAAGACCCCACAUUUUGGGUCCUAAAUUUGUUGGCAUUGAUUGCCAAUUGCAAUUCAAAGCCUCCUAAAAGUAUUUCCAAAUUUUCAGUUUUUAUGUCCUAUGUUUACUGUUGUAUUUGUCUAUACUAAAGUGAGAAUUUGGCUAAACUUUCUUCAUGAAAGUUGUUUUUUUUUUUUAUGUAUCUAGUUUAAUUUCCUUUUUUAAUCACUCCAUUUGGA
RNAcentral lists this unclassified non-coding RNA (714 nucleotides) under Hevea brasiliensis (rubber tree). The record is from RNAcentral. Lineage: Eukaryota; Viridiplantae; Streptophyta; Magnoliopsida; Malpighiales; Euphorbiaceae.